RNAcentral lists this ribosomal RNA (727 nucleotides) under uncultured bacterium. RNAcentral's name for it is "bacterial SSU rRNA". It matches the Rfam family "Bacterial small subunit ribosomal RNA", at positions 72 to 795 of the family's 1533-position model. The record is from RNAcentral.
GAGCGGGGCAACCCGCAAGUAGAGUGGCGAACGGGUGAGUAAUACAUCGGAACAUUUCCAGUAGCGGGGGAUAACCUGUCGAUAGAUAGGCUAAUACCGCAUACGCCCCACGGGGGAAAGCGGAGGACCGCAAGGCUUCGCACUAUAGGAGUGGCCGAUGUCGGAUUAGCUAGUUGGCGGGGUAACGGCCCACCAAGGCGACGAUCCGUAGCUGGUCUGAGAGGACGAUCAGCCACACUGGAACUGAGACACGGUCCAGACUCCUACGGGAGGCAGCAGUGGGGAAUUUUGGACAAUGGGCGCAAGCCUGAUCCAGCCAUGCCGCGUGAGUGAAGAAGGCCUUCGGGUUGUAAAGCUCUUUCGGUGGGGACGAAAAGGUUCGUGCUAAUACCACGGACUAAUGACGGUACCCGAAGAAGAAGCACCGGCUAACUACGUGCCAGCAGCCGCGGUAAUACGUAGGGUGCAGGCGUUAAUCGGAAUUACUGGGCGUAAAGCGUGCGCAGGCGGUUUGUUAAGACAGAUGUGAAAUCCCCGGGCUUAACCUGGGAACUGCGUUUGUAACUGGCAAGCUAGAGUGUGGCAGAGGGGGGUGGAAUUCCAAGUGUAGCAGUGAAAUGCGUAGAUAUUUGGAGGAACACCGAUGGCGAAGGCAGCCCCCUGGGCUAACACUGACGCUCAUGCACGAAAGCGUGGGGAGCAAACAGGAUUAGAUACCCUGGUAGUC